AUUGAACGCUGGCGGCAGGCCUAGCACAUGCAAGUCGAACGGUAACAGGAAGCAGCUUGCUGCUUUGCUGACGAGUGGCGGACGGGUGAGUAAUGUCUGGGAAACUGCCUGAUGGAGGGGGAUAACUACUGGAAACGGUAGCUAAUACCGCAUAACGUCGCAAGACCAAAGAGGGGGACCUUAGGGCCUCUUGCCAUCGGAUGUGCCCAGAUGGGAUUAGCUAGUAGGUGGGGUAACGGCUCACCUAGGCGACGAUCCCUAGCUGGUCUGAGAGGAUGACCAGCCACACUGGAACUGAGACACGGUCCAGACUCCUACGGGAGGCAGCAGUGGGGAAUAUUGCACAAUGGGCGCAAGCCUGAUGCAGCCAUGCCGCGUGUAUGAAGAAGGCCUUCGGGUUGUAAAGUACUUUCAGCGGGGAGGAAGGGAGUAAAGUUAAUACCUUUGCUCAUUGACGUUACCCGCAGAAGAAGCACCGGCUAACUCCGUG
This 490-nucleotide ribosomal RNA is filed under the name uncultured bacterium. RNAcentral's name for it is "partial 16S ribosomal RNA". It matches the Rfam family "Bacterial small subunit ribosomal RNA", at positions 30 to 507 of the family's 1533-position model. The record is from RNAcentral.